UUCAAUGCAAACGGAAAUUUUAUCUUCCUUUCGCCAUCGAUUUCCAUACCUUGUCAAGGAGAGAGUUCCAAGCCCUAGGUAAGAGGAAUAAGAUUCCGGCCAAUAUCACUAAUGUCGCCAUGGCCGACGCUCUUGCUGCUCGAUCUUCAGUCCGCUGAAGGAAUGGAGGGGUUUUUGUACGGUGAUAGAUGAGUACCGGAAUCGGUUAUUGAUUUGGUUGAAGGAAUCGAGGAGUUUCCUGAAUUGCCGAUGAAAGCAGAGCUUAUUUCCUCGGAAAUUCCACGAACUGCACUGAGAACUUCAGAAAGAAGAAAGGCCUUCAAGGAUGGGGCAAGUACUACUCGAUCACAACGAUAGUAAUUUUCUUUUUGGAUUUAACAUUCUGCUAUUUGUGUCGUUACCCUUAAAUGUCCUCACAAUCUCUUUAUUCUUCGAACAAUCAUUAACAAAAAUCCCUGGAAACCGAGCGGCUGGGAACCCAUUGUUCUCGAUCAUGUCCAGUGCUGAACCCUCCCAAUGGACUGCUCGGAUCAAGUGUUUAAGGGAGCCAAAUCCUUUCUUAGGAAUGUUUUGGCGAGCAUGGAGGCUGUUUAUCUGAGUCGGAAUUCCACUGAAAAAUCCGUUUUGGAGCUUGUUCGAUCUGUUCAUGAUGAUACAAUUUGUUAUGAUCAUAUUGCAUUUAGAACUUUUGGGAUGGAUGGACAUGGGAUUGACUCAUUAGCAAGCUUUUUUUCUAAAUUUUGGAUAUACUCAAAAAGAAGAAUUAUCAUUCCCAUCAAAAAAGUUGAAAGCAUUUUGGUUUUCACCUCCCUCCAUUUCUAAUGCUUCUUAUGAUGGUGAUGGAGUCAAUGGACCUCUGCCAAGAGUAUUCAUAUCACUACUUCUUGUGAUCAGAUGAGUAAACAAACUCACAGGACAUAAUCAUAAAAUACACUGAAUAAUGUUCUUUCAAUGGGAAGAAGCAUGCUCUGCUCUGGCAAGUGUUCUGGGUUCCUUGACAUUCAGAGAAUGAGCAAUUAGCAAGUUUAAUAUGAGGUUAUUAAGGAAGGAGAUAGAGGAAGGAAGGAGAUAGAGGAGGAAGAAGGGAGAGAGCAAAGAUAGAAAAGACUGGGGAUGAGUCUGAAGAUGCAGCAGCCCCUUCUUGAAUAUGGAACCAAUUUUAAGAUGCAGCAGCCCCUUAUUCAAUAUGGAACCAAUUUCUCUUCCUCGAUAAUUUUUUCCCAUCUGUUUGAGCAAACAUUUAGCUAAUAUGUGUAUAUGUUCUUUACAUUGCUGCAGCACCAUAUUCUAAUGGAGAUGUGAAAUGCUUCUCUGAAGAUGAAAAAGUAAAUGGAGCUUCAGAAGAUGAUUCGUGGAGAUCAAAAAAUAUGGAACCAAUUUUAAGAUGCAGCAGCCCCUUAUUGAAUAUGGCAUCAAUUUUUCUUCCUCAGUAAUUUUUUUCCAUCUGUUUGAGCAAACAUUUAGCUAAUAUAUGUAUAUGUUCUUUACACUGCUGCAGCACCAUAUUCUAAUGGAGAUGUGAAAUGCUUAUUUGACGAUGAAAAAGCAAAUGGAGCUUAAGAAGAUGAUACGUGGAGAUAAAAAAAACCUCACAUACUUUCCUUCUCAGGAAACUUUUGCUGAGUACAUGAUCCAAAUAGGUUUCAAGCGGCCUUUGCUUGGUGGCAUGGCACUUUUAGCUAGAAAAUUUUGAGAAGCAGCAUGUGUGGAACUCCUGAUAUGCCUGAAAAAUGGAUCCUAUGAAGGAAAAUAAAGAAUUAGAAAAUGGAACCAAUUAUUGAAUAACUGUCAAUUUUUCUCCAUCUAUUUGAGCAACAUUUAGCUGAUAUGUGUAUGUCCUUUGCAGCUCCACAUUCUCAUCUUUGAAGAUAGUAAAUGAAGCUUCCAAAGAACAUAGAUUCUGUGGAGAUUUCUGCUUAAGGAAAUCAGAGAUUGCUACAGCAAAAACUGCUCACC
Cucumis melo (muskmelon) is the source of this 1956-nucleotide long non-coding RNA. RefSeq lists it as uncharacterized. The record is from RefSeq and is a predicted model, not a curated record. Lineage: Eukaryota; Viridiplantae; Streptophyta; Magnoliopsida; Cucurbitales; Cucurbitaceae. The transcript is spliced from 8 exons.